RNAcentral lists this transfer RNA (75 nucleotides) under Microbulbifer hydrolyticus. RNAcentral's name for it is "tRNA-Ile". It matches the Rfam family "tRNA". Rfam says of the family: Transfer RNA (tRNA) molecules are approximately 80 nucleotides in length. Their secondary structure includes four short double-helical elements and three loops (D, anti-codon, and T loops). Further hydrogen bonds mediate the characteristic L-shaped molecular structure. tRNAs have two regions of fundamental functional importance: the anti-codon, which is responsible for specific mRNA codon recognition, and the 3' end, to which the tRNAs corresponding amino acid is attached (by aminoacyl-tRNA synthetases). tRNAs cope with the degeneracy of the genetic code in two manners: having more than one tRNA (with a specific anti-codon) for a particular amino acid; and 'wobble' base-pairing, i.e. permitting non-standard base-pairing at the 3rd anti-codon position. Lineage: Bacteria; Pseudomonadati; Pseudomonadota; Gammaproteobacteria; Cellvibrionales; Microbulbiferaceae. The record is from RNAcentral.
UGCGGUGUAGCUCAGUGGUAGAGCAAACGCUUGAUAAGCGUUCGGUCGACAGUUCGAAUCUGUCCUCCGCAACCA